Molecule: transfer RNA, 87 nt
Filed under: Candidatus Riflebacteria bacterium GWC2_50_8
Lineage: Bacteria; Candidatus Rifleibacteriota
Also listed under: 2 other names
Description: tRNA-Ser
Rfam family: tRNA
About the family: Transfer RNA (tRNA) molecules are approximately 80 nucleotides in length. Their secondary structure includes four short double-helical elements and three loops (D, anti-codon, and T loops). Further hydrogen bonds mediate the characteristic L-shaped molecular structure. tRNAs have two regions of fundamental functional importance: the anti-codon, which is responsible for specific mRNA codon recognition, and the 3' end, to which the tRNAs corresponding amino acid is attached (by aminoacyl-tRNA synthetases). tRNAs cope with the degeneracy of the genetic code in two manners: having more than one tRNA (with a specific anti-codon) for a particular amino acid; and 'wobble' base-pairing, i.e. permitting non-standard base-pairing at the 3rd anti-codon position.
Source: RNAcentral
GGAAAGGUGGUCGAGUUGGUUUAAGGCGCACGCUUGGAAAGCGUGUGUAGGUAACCCCUACCGCGGGUUCGAAUCCCGCCCUUUCCG